GACGAACGCUGGCGGCGUGCUUAACACAUGCAAGUCGAACGGAAAGGCCCUGCUUUUGUGGGGUGCUCGAGUGGCGAACGGGUGAGUAACACGUGAGUAACCUGCCCUUGACUUUGGGAUAACUUCAGGAAACUGGGGCUAAUACCGGAUAGGAGCUCCUGCUGCACGGGGGGGGUUGGAAAGUUUCGGCGGUUGGGGAUGGACUCGCGGCUUAUCAGCUUGUUGGUGGGGUAGUGGCUUACCAAGGCUUUGACGGGUAGCCGGCCUGAGAGGGUGACCGGCCACAUUGGGACUGAGAUACGGCCCAGACUCCUACGGGAGGCAGUAGUGGGGAAUAUUGCACAAUGGGCGGAAGCCUGAUGCAGCAACGCCGCGUGCGGGAUGACGGCCUUCGGGUUGUAAACCGCUUUCGCCUGUGACGAAGCGUGAGUGACGGUAAUGGGUAAAGAAGCACCGGCUAACUACGUG
RNAcentral lists this ribosomal RNA (468 nucleotides) under uncultured bacterium. RNAcentral describes it as "partial 16S ribosomal RNA". It matches the Rfam family "Bacterial small subunit ribosomal RNA", at positions 28 to 507 of the family's 1533-position model. The record is from RNAcentral.